GUUUGUUUUGGCUGUCGCCAUCGCGCGGCCGUCCUAAAAUCGUAAGGUCUCUAAUGGCGUCUCUUGGACCACGCAUUUGGCUUUGUGAAUUGGUUGAUUAAUAAGAAAUGCUGAACAAAGUCGCACUCAUUGUGACUCGCCAGACUUUUAUUGUCGUAGAUUAGAAGAGUAUGAACGCAUAUUGAGUGUUUUAACAAUAUCAAGAAUCACCGAAUCAUACACACAUUAUUUAUACACAGACGCAUUAUUUGGUACAGACGAAUUCUGAGUACGUGGUAUUCGGAAACGAGAAUUGAGCCUCAGAAUUCAGUUCUUCGGGUAACGAUGUGAACUUCUGCACUGAACCACCUUGUGAUACUGUGUUUUCUUCACGUGUUUGCGAAGAAUGCUGUAUUUGGUCACCGCGCUUAAGAUUGACUGAACAAAAUCCUGAACAUUUGGUACUCUGCCCUGUCUCUCUUCUGGCGCCACUUGGCACGCGCGAUUUUGCCGAGUCGCUCUACUUCCGUUUUUCCAACCACUUCCGCUUUCUCAUCUUUUAGUUGUAUUUACUUCCGUUUCCUCAUCUUUUGGUUGUAUCGGUUUAUCUUUUGGUUGUAUCGGUUUAUCUUUUAGUUGUAUCGGUUUAUCUUUUAGUUGUAUCGGCUUAUGACAUUGAUGCAUUUGUACAUAACAUCAAUGUAUAGCACAUAACAUUAAUUUAUAGGCGCAUAAACUCGAUUGAUACAUUUCAGAGUCCGCUAAAAAACUUCAUAUAUAAAUCUCAGAGAACAUGAUGUAAACAAAAUACAGAAAUAAUACGAACGUAUUAAAAUGCUUUACUUGGUGUAGGUUAUUUGUUUGUUCCGCUAUAAAAAGAUUUUCUGCGCUGGAGAAGAGCUGCCAUCGAGGCAUAACUUGAGUUGACGGUAUGACAUGUUCACUCUAUUACAGUUUUAAUAAUUUUUGUAAAAUAAGGUUUUAAAUUUUUGUAAUU
Molecule: non-coding RNA, 976 nt
Organism: Paramuricea clavata
Lineage: Eukaryota; Metazoa; Cnidaria; Anthozoa; Malacalcyonacea; Plexauridae
Source: the annotation of a GenBank genome assembly